Heterocephalus glaber (naked mole-rat) is the source of this 525-nucleotide non-coding RNA. The record is from RefSeq and is a predicted model, not a curated record. Lineage: Eukaryota; Metazoa; Chordata; Mammalia; Rodentia; Bathyergidae.
CAUCACUUCAGAUGCAGCUGCCACCUCUCUGAAGAAAUGGCCAGGGAACUACCCCCUAAUAGGGCACAGAUCAGGAAGGACUUGUAUCUAAGUCAAGGAAAAGAAUCCACUAUUGAUUGACAACAAAGAGUUCUAACUGCUGUUUUUAUCAGGAGGCAAUUCCUGGAAUGUUGUUCUCCACCACUUUGCUCUGAUCCUCCCUCCAAUAAAACUGGGUCUCCGUUGACUUACCCGCGGGACAGGACAAGUGGCGCCCAACGUGGGGCCCGAGAACGGGGGAUCCAGUGAAGAACGCUGCUCGGGGGCCCAAUAAAAUAGAAGAGACAAAUAAAAUAGAAAAAAGAGGAUUGCAUCUGACGUGAACCUGCCGUCUUUCCUGCACCUCGGUGAGUUGAGCAGCGAUUAUGGGACAGGAGAUUAGCCAACAUGAGUUGUUUGUAGAAGGUCUUAAAAAAAAACUUUACAGGCACGAGGGGUAAAGGUUACAGUCAAACAGUUGUUAAAAUUUUUUGAUUAUAUUAGAGA